GACGAACGCUGGCGGCGUGCUUAACACAUGCAAGUCGAACGGAAAGGCCCUGCUUUUGUGGGCUGCUCGGUUGGCGAACGGGUGAGUAACACGUGAGUAACCGGCCCUUCACUUUGGGAUAAGUUCAGGAAACUGGGGCUAAUACAGGAUAGGAGCUGCUGCUGCAUGGUGGGGGUUGGAAAGUUUCGUCGGUUGGGGAUGGACUCGCGGCUUAUCAGCUUGUUGGUGGGGUAGUGGUUUACCAAGGCUUUGACGGGUAGCCGGCCUGAGAGGGUGACCGGCCACCAUGGGCCUGAGAUACGGCCCAGACUCCUACGGUAGGCAACGGUGGGGAAUCUUACACAAUGGGACGGAGCCUGAUGCAGCAACGCCGCGUGCGGGAUGACGUCCUUUGGGUUGUAAACCGCUUUCGCCUGUGACGAAGCGUGAGUGACGGUACUGGAUAAAGAAGCACCGGCUAACUACGUG
This 468-nucleotide ribosomal RNA is filed under the name uncultured bacterium. Its description in RNAcentral is "partial 16S ribosomal RNA". It matches the Rfam family "Bacterial small subunit ribosomal RNA", at positions 28 to 507 of the family's 1533-position model. The record is from RNAcentral.